This is a long non-coding RNA of Carassius gibelio (silver crucian carp), 416 nucleotides long. RefSeq lists it as uncharacterized. The transcript has 2 exons. The record is from RefSeq and is a predicted model, not a curated record. NCBI's taxonomy places the organism in Eukaryota, Metazoa, Chordata, Actinopteri, Cypriniformes, Cyprinidae.
AUUGCAGAAAUCAAACCAAGUUUGGAGUUGUCCUGUCUGAUUUGGAGAGUCAUUAUUCUUGGUCUUCGCUCUUAGAGGCCACUGAUGAAGAACAGGCGGUGACUGGGAUGAAUGCUGGUCAGAGAGGAGAAUCUUCUUUCCCCUAAACUGAUGCAGCACUGGUUUUAAAGGAGGACGCUGCCCUGGAUGAUGUAGAAGAUGUCACAUGCUGUGCUGAUGGGGUUUCUUCAUGAUUACAUCAGUUAUGCUAAAGAGAUCAUGAAAAUUGACUGUGAUGCAUGAUCUGUAUUCAUGGACUAUGAAACAAACUGUAAGUGUAUAAUUUGUUAAAAAAAAAAAAAAAGUUAAAUGCUUUUUCUGUGUUGUUUAGUAGAAGAGUUUACACUCUGUCAUUCAUACACCUGCUCACAUUCUUU